Molecule: transfer RNA, 91 nt
Filed under: Marmota monax (woodchuck)
Lineage: Eukaryota; Metazoa; Chordata; Mammalia; Rodentia; Sciuridae
Rfam family: tRNA
About the family: Transfer RNA (tRNA) molecules are approximately 80 nucleotides in length. Their secondary structure includes four short double-helical elements and three loops (D, anti-codon, and T loops).
Source: Rfam by way of RNAcentral
CCUUCGAUAGCUCAGCUGGUAGAGCGGAGGACUGUAGAGGUUGUCACCUGUAGUCAUCCUUAGGUCGCUGGUUCGAUUCCGGCUCGAAGGA